This 423-nucleotide ribosomal RNA is filed under the name uncultured bacterium. Its description in RNAcentral is "bacterial SSU rRNA". It matches the Rfam family "Bacterial small subunit ribosomal RNA", at positions 376 to 796 of the family's 1533-position model. The record is from RNAcentral.
CGCAAGUCUGAACCAGCCAUGUCGCGUGCAGGAUGACGGCCCUAUGGGUUGUAAACUGCUUUUUUACAGGAAUAAACGUUGCUACGUGUAGUAAUUUGAAUGUACUGUAUGAAUAAGGAUCGGCUAACUCCGUGCCAGCAGCCGCGGUAAUACGGAGGAUUCGAGCGUUAUCCGGAUUUAUUGGGUUUAAAGGGUCCGUAGGCGGUUCUUUAAGUCAGUGGUGAAAUCCCAGAGCUCAACUCUGGAACUGCCAUUGAAACUGAAGAACUUGAAUAUGGUUGAGGUAGGCGGAAUACGUUAUGUAGCGGUGAAAUGCAUAGAUAUAACGUAGAACACCAAUUGCGAAGGCAGCUUACUAAACCAUUAUUGACGCUGAUGGACGAAAGCGUGGGGAGCGAACAGGAUUAGAUACCCUGGUAGUCC